UGGCGGCGUGCCUAACACAUGCAAGUCGAGGCGAGGGGAGUUCUUCGGAAACAAACCUAGCGGCGGACGGGUGAGUAACACGUGGGCAACCUGCCUUAUAGUGGGGAAUAGCCUCUCGAAAGGGAGAUUAAUACCGCAUAACAUUGCACUUUCGCAUGAAAGAGUAAUUAAAGGAGCAAUCCGCUAUAAGAUGGGCCCGCGGCGCAUUAGCUAGUUGGUGAGGUAACGGCUCACCAAGGCGACGAUGCGUAGCCGACCUGAGAGGGUGAUCGGCCACAUUGGGACUGAGACACGGCCCAGACUCCUACGGGAGGCAGCAGUGGGGAAUAUUGCACAAUGGGGGAAACCCUGAUGCAGCAAACCGCCGCGUGAGUGAUGAAGGUCUUCGGAUCGUAAAGCUCUGUCUUCAGGGACGAUAAUGACGGUACCUGAGGAGGAAGCCACGGCUAACUACGUGCCAGCCGCUGC
RNAcentral lists this ribosomal RNA (468 nucleotides) under uncultured bacterium. Its description in RNAcentral is "bacterial SSU rRNA". It matches the Rfam family "Bacterial small subunit ribosomal RNA", at positions 37 to 518 of the family's 1533-position model. The record is from RNAcentral.